GAUGAACGCUGGCGGCGUGCUUAACACAUGCAAGUCGAACGGUGAACACGGAGCUUGCUCUGUGGGAUCAGUGGCGAACGGGUGAGUAACACGUGAGCAACCUGCCCCUGACUCUGGGAUAAGCGCUGGAAACGGCGUCUAAUACUGGCUAUGUGACGUGACCGCAUGGUCUGCGUUUGGAAAGAUUUUUCGGUUGGGGUUGGGAUCGCGGCCUAUCAGCUUGUUGGUGAGGUAAUGGCUCAGCAAGGCGUCGACGGGUAGCCGGCCUGAGAGGGUGACCGGCCACGCUGGGACGGAGACACGGCCCAGCCUCCUACGGGAGGCAGCAGUGGGGAAUAGUGCACUAUGGGCGCAAGCCUGAUGCAGCAACGCCGCGUGGGGGAUGACGGCCUUCGGGUUGGAUUCCUCUUUUAGCAGGGAAGAAGCGAAAGUGACGGUACCUGCAGAAAAAGCUCCGGCUAACUACGUG
RNAcentral lists this ribosomal RNA (469 nucleotides) under uncultured bacterium. Its description in RNAcentral is "partial 16S ribosomal RNA". It matches the Rfam family "Bacterial small subunit ribosomal RNA", at positions 28 to 507 of the family's 1533-position model. The record is from RNAcentral.